RNAcentral lists this long non-coding RNA (27323 nucleotides) under Coffea arabica (coffee). Its description in RNAcentral is "long non-coding RNA (CARA_LNC006368)". Lineage: Eukaryota; Viridiplantae; Streptophyta; Magnoliopsida; Gentianales; Rubiaceae. The record is from RNAcentral.
UUUUUUUUUUUUAGUGUAAACAGGAGGAUUCGAACCCAAGACUUCUUCCUUACACUCUCUCUCCCGUACCACCCAACCCAACCCAACCCUCCCCCUAGUAUAUUCAAAAUAAAAAAAUAAAAAAAAAACCUCACCCUACUCAUCCUAUGCUAGUAAUUAAUUAUGUAUAAUAAGGACAUUCUUUUCUAGAGAAACUUUCAGCAGUGAGAGUGCAAGAUAUAUGUCACAAUCAGCAUUGCAUGUGAUUGAUAUUUGACACUAAAUGGCCAGCAAUUUGUUUAUUGCUUAAGGAGAUAUUUUUUAUUCAUAUAUACAUUUCUCCAAGAUUUUUUAAAAUUAAACAAUGAGAUAAAUUUUCUUAUUUUGCAUGGGAAGAAAUAUGUAGUUAUAAUGUGUAGAAAGUAAAGAUAGAGAUAAAAGUGAAAAUAUUUCAAAAGUUAAACAAACACCAGAAAAAUGAAGUAAGAAAAUAUUUUCAAUAAACUAACCAAACACCUGAAAAUGAUGAAAGGGAAAUGAUUUUCAUGGAAAAUUACUUCCACGGAAAAUAUUUUCCCAAGGAAAACAUUUUACUUCCAACCAAACAGACCCUUAAAGUGAGAUUCAAGUGGAUUGAUUACUAUUUUUCUGCAAAAUAAUAGAAAAAUGCUCAAAAAUGAGCUAUAAUCUCUUCAUUCAAAUUGAAUAUUUCUUGUAGGAACUAACUCACUCCAGACAAAGAAGUAAAUUAAGCUUAUAAGAGAAAAUUUUGGUAAUAGAAAGCAAAGGAAAAAUGAGGUGACUCAAUAGAGAAGGAACGAACAAUGCUAAAGCAUUUGGGAACCAACCUAAUCCAUGCAUAAAGAAAGCAUAAAAUCCUGUAUUUGGAUUGAAGGAUUUGAUGAAAUAUUUAAAAUCCUCUCAAAUUUCUCUACAUUGUUUGGAUUUCUUGGAAGAAAUUUGGAUUAAUAACCUACUAAUUAUUUUAUUAGGUAAUUGCAUGCCAACUAUCAAAUCUAUCAAUAACUUUUGACAUAUAAGCAAACACAACUUAGUUUAAUUUUAAAUUGCCGCCUUUAUAUCAAGUUAUUGAUAGAUUUGCCAAAUAUUUAGUAUUUUCUUCAAUUUCACAAAAAACUCUAAAUUGAGUGGUUUGAUAAAAAUACUGAUAACUGGAUCUUCUGUCUUGCUAUAAAUAACGACAAUUUUCUUGUCUUAAACUAACUCAUAAAUGAAAUGAUACGUGAUAUCAAUGUACUUACUGUCCCCAUAAACACUAGAAUUUUUGUCAACUCAAUUGUAGAUUUAUUAUCAGUCUAUCACAAAAAUAUUUUGUUCGGACCAUCUUGUUAAUAUAAAAAAUUCUCAAGCAUUUGUCAUAGCUGUAGUGUUUGAGUAGAACUAUUUAUUGCUACCAUAUACUUAGUUUUAGCUAUGAAAGAUUCCAUGACUUGUUACUUUUUGGAUGACUAAAAAAAUAAUGAUUAAUACAUCAUUAUUUGAAAUAGAACACAAAAUUGGAGUUACUUUGUAUUUGAAUUAUGUUACUUGCCUAGUCACCGUGUGUAAAUCUAACAGGUCUACACUCAUUAAUCAUGGGGCCCUGCAAAUUUUUUAUACUUGUGGUUGACAAAUCUUUCGCUUCUUGAAACAUGGCCACCAUUGCAUGCAAAGCAUUGACAACUUUUAUAAUAAACACCUCACCUCUGAGAUCAUGGAGACUGAGGCCUCAUCUUAUUUUUUAUGCCUAUUAAUUUGGAAAAAUAAGAGUGUUAGUAUAUAAAAACACACAGAGGAAGCAUACUUGACACAAAAGAGUAUGUAGGAGAAGAAAUGUUUAUAUUAAUCAUGAGGUACAUCCAACUCUCAUAUUGAGACCAACAUCUAGGUAAAAUUACUUUUACAAAUAACCAAAAAUCUCACUACUUUUUUAAUAAUUUUUCUCUUACUCUUCUCAACUGCAAUUGUAUGGUGUAGUGUAGACAAUAUACAAUAAACAUUUAGGAACAAACACAAAAGUACAGUGUAGAUAAUACUCUCUCCAUCUUACUUUGAUAGGCUUGUUUUCCUUUUUUUAUCCAUCCCAAAUUAUAGUCCACUUUCCAGUUGAAAAAUGUGGUUAACGUGCAACUUCUCUAAAAUGUCCUUAUUUAAUGUAGGUUGUUAUUGAGUAUAACCUAACUUAUUUAGUGUAAACUUCAUUUAAUGUAAGGGUAUUUUAGAAAGAUAGUAAGCUAGACUUAUUCUUCCAACAAAGUUAACAAACUUUCUUAAACAGUGCCAAAAAAAAAAAAAUCAAACCUAUCAAAGUGGAACGGAGGGAGUAACAAUAAAAUGCACAAGACCCAACCACAAUAAAAAAAAAGAAUACAACAUAUUUUUUUGACACAUUGAAAUUUUAUGUUACCAACUAAUCUCUACAAUUUUAUUUGAAACUAAUCAGUUCCUACCUUUGACAAUUCUUUGCUAUUUCCUAAGACCUCUGAUCUGAAAAACUUCUUCCCCAUGUGAAUAGAGCGUCCUAUCAAAUUUGUCAAAAUAAUGUAAGAGUUUCUCUCUCCCAAGUUCCUUACCCUAUCUCUUUCCUUGUCAAUCUCUUCCUUAUCAAAUUGAGCCCCAAAAUUAGCUAGGGAUGUGCAUCAAAAUCGAAAUCGGUAAUUUAGAAGUUUAAAUUCGGAAUUUUUUGAAAUUUUGGUAUAAGAAUUACUGACCGAUUUCGAUUUCGAAUUUACCAGUUCCGAUUUUGAUUUCGAUUCGGAAUUUAUUAAAUUCAGAAACCUUUUUCCCUUUUUUUUCUUUUUUGUUAGUUGUAUUGUUAUAUAAUAUAAAUUUUAUAUUACAUAUAUUAUAAAAAAUAUUAUUAUAUAUAAAUAUAUUAUUAAAAUAUUAUUAUAUACAUAAAUAUUUAUUAAUAUACAUAUUAUAAAAUGAAAUUGAAAUAAAAAAUUAUUAUAUAUAUAAAUAAAUAAAUAUUAAUAUAUAUAUAUUACAAAACGAAAUUGAAAUCGAAAAUUCCGAUUUCGAUUUCCGAUUUCAAAAACUCCAUUACUGAAUUCAAACUAAAUUCGCAUAAUUCGAAAUCAAAAAUUCCGAUUUCAGUGCCAAAUUCCGAAUUAUCGAUUUCGAAAAUUUCGGAUUCAAUUCAAAUUCGGUUGGUAAAUCGAAAUUUUUUGGUUUUGCACACCCCUACCCAAAAUAUCGAAAAUAGCAACAACUGCUAUGGGUUAUUUUGCUAGGGUUUUGGGUUCCAAGAACUAGCCAACUAUAAGUUCCUAGUACAUAAAGUACAAUCAUCUUGUUACUAUUAUCCAAUAUCGCCAACAAAAAAUAUUAGUUAACUUUCUUGAGGCAUCCAGCUUAGGUUCGUUCUUCUUUUACCUCUCAUUAAGGAGUAUUAAUGCUAUGGAGAAGCUAUUUGAGGAUAAGAUCAACAAAGUUAAGGCGAAUGUUUAGAAAUGUUAGAUUGAAUGGAGAGCAAUACUACUGAAGAAGUAACUCGAUGACAAGAUCAACAAAACUAAGGAGAAUGUUCAGAAAGGUUAGAUUGAAUAGAGAGUUGAAAGAGGAAAUCAAGAAAAGAAAAAAUAGAGAAGAGUCUGAAAAGGAGGAAAUAGUUGAAAAAGGAUUGAAGAAUUAGAGUGAAGGAGAUGAGAAGAAUAUUGAUAAGAUAUAAUUUUCCACCGUUAUUUUUAGUUUUUUACUAAUAGAAAUAUUAUAGAAUUCUGAGCCACUCUUUUCAACUAAAUAUAAUACUAAAACAUCCUAUAUAUAGCACACAACACUUGUAAUUAAGAAACUACCAAGACUAUAAACUACCAAAUAAUUACUCCAUACUUUACACAAGUAACGACAAAAAUUUGACUAGAAUAAGAAGUUCUACAUUAAAAAUAAAGAACAUUAAUAAUUAGAAAUUUUGGUUUAAUUGUACAAUAAUACCUUUCUUAAUUCAAAUUUCUAUGAACACAAGUCUAAACCAUCACCAACAAAAUAUCAUGUGUUAAAAGUACUUUUAUCAGUGGUCAAAUUAACUGGGUUGGUCAAAAUUAUUUUAGUUUCCAUAAGUUCAAGUCGAUAUCCAUACUUGAAUUUGUGUUGGUCCUUUAAUCUAUUGAUUAGUUUGUUUCCUAUCUUUAUAUGGUUUUAGUUAAGAUAGUUUAUUGGUCCAUAUAAACUAGUGUUUGGCUAACAAUUAUUCAGAGAGAUAGCCAAAAAGAAAAUUUGAGAGAAAUAAAUCUUGACAAUUUUUUGAGUAAAUUGUGCCACAAGCUAAAGUGAAAAAAAGCUAAGGCUUAUAUUAUUAUUGUUGAGUUUUGAGUAAUGAAAUUAUUAAGUACUUAUUGCGUAUUUAUUUUCCUCCUCUUACCAUAUAUUUUUAUAUAUGUUAAAAUAGUUUCCAUUGUUUGUUGUUUUUAUUUUUAUUUUUAUUUUUUAUGCCAACAAGUGGUAUCAAUUGUCUCUGAUACUUUAAUGGCGAUGAGUUCAAAUUUUCUUUUCAAUAUGAGCAAAUUAUUUUUAUGGAAUCUAUCAACUGUAUUGAAUAUGUUUGCCAAAAUAUUCAAUGUCUAGUCUGCAAUUUUGAGACAUGAACCACAUGAUGAAUUUGAGACACGGUCAUUUUUACUCUCCUCUUAGUAUUUGCAUCUGCAUUUGUCACGACAUCUUGUUUGACAAAUCAAAAUAAACUAUAUGCCUAAAGAUGAGUUUCUAUUCGAUUUCUACAAAGAUAGUAACCUUCUCAAAAAAUUGUAAUCUUUCUUCCUUACAAGUUUGUGGUAAUAUUGAUUGUAGCCAUGUCUUCUAAUCAACUUCAAUAUGAUACCAAUUUAUAAAAAUAGGAAAGAAAGCCCUACUCAAAAUAAAUAAGCAUACCAAUCUCAUAUGACAAAAAGUUUGGCAAUGAAAAUCAAAUAAAAAAUUAGGCGAUGCAGCAACAAAGGAACAAAUGUUACUAAAGCCUUUCGGAAAGCAACCUUAAAUUUUUUUAAAAAUUUCUUACAUUACACUUUUCUUGUGUAUUACAUAUAUAUAUAUAUAUAUAUAUAUAUAUAUAUAUGUAUGUAUGUAUGUAUAUAUGUGUGUGUGUGUGUGUGUGUGUGUGAAUGUGUACAUAUACAUACAUACAUAGAGGUUUUUUUUUUUGUUUUAAUUUAAGAUUUUAAGAAAGGGUGAAAUCUUAUUCAUCGGUUCAUUAUACAAUUUAAUUUAACUUAAAGACUAUGUGCAUAAUUCUAACUAGUCCUUAACUAUAUGCGCAUUUGAUCGUAUAUAUGCGUUAUUAGUAUUACAAUAAAUAAAUAAGAGAGUGUUGGCUUUCAAUGCAAGAUUUAGAAACAUGUCUGUCCGUGGCACCAAUACUAAGUACACUAUAGUUCGAUACUUUGACAAGUCUAUUUAUAGAGAUUAAUUUUUUUCUCUAGAUGCAUUGGCAUUUCCAUUUUUUUCGUUCAUGCUAUUGAUAGGAGAAGAGAUGAAGAAAGAUUAAAGAUACAAUCAUAUAUUUGUGACUAAUCCCUCUUCUCAUCUUUUCUCUUUCCUAUAUAUAUAAACACACAUAUACAAAUACACAUACAUAUUAUAUGUAUGUAUGUGUAUAUGUAUAUAUAUAUGUAUGUACACAUACAUAUGUGUGUGUGUAGACAUACACAAAGACACAUCUAUAUACAUAUAUGUGUUAGUCAUUAAACUAGUAGCUAAGGUUGAGACCUCAAGACCUAGAGGUCCUGGGUUCUGAUCUCUCUUUCCCUUACCUUGCUUCUUAAAUCUCUCGCUUCUCCUUGCAGAAAUUUUUUUCUAAAACAAUAAGUUGGUAUAAUUAAACCAAACUUUGUAAUAGUUUUUGUUUCCUAUUUUAAAUUAGAAGGUCAAGUAUAGUCUAAUUUUAAUUUAGUAGUUUACUUGUUUAAAAUAUAGAGAAAUUUUUUAAUAUUUUCUUGUCUUAGUGGUUUCUUAUUUACCAAGUCAUGUUAACUAUACAUUGGGUCAUUUUAGUAUUCUAUUUAGUUGACAAAAGUAAGAGAAAAAUUAAGAAAGACUAGUGAGAGCCUUAGUGUUGGUAAAGGCAAAUUUUGCCUAAAUUUUAUACCGAUCUCAAUAUGAGAACCAUAUAUGCUUAUGAGUUUGUGAUUAUUGAACUCCUCUUUUCUCACAUAUUUUUAUAUAUGCCAAUAUGCUUCUGCUAUAUGAUUUUAGUUGAGGGAUGGCAAUUGGAGGCACCCGCCCCGCGGGAGGCUAAUGGGGCGGGGCGGGGCGAGGGCGGGUGAGUAUACCCCCUACCUAGCCACCUAUUAAAAAAAUUAAUAUAUAUAUGUAUAUAUAUAAUUAUAUCAGUAAUAUUUAAUUUAAUUAGUUAUAAAUUUAUAAUAAUGAUAUUAUUAGUUAUAUGUAUUGUAUGAUGUAUAUUAGUAUAUGUAAUAUAAUUGAUAUUAUCAAUUAUACUAAUAAUUAUACAUGUUUACCAAUAGAAAUUAUUAAUUAGCUAUACUAAAUUUACUAAUACAUUUAUAGUAAAUUUCUAAUUACACUUAACAUAAUUACAUUUUAUUCUAAAAAAAACACAAUAAUGACUUGGUGAUUGUAUUGUGUCAAAAGUGAAUACUUGACCACUUUAGUUGUAUUUGUUUCAUCAUAUUGGAUUGUAUUUAAAUAACAUUUGUUUGAUUAGUUUUAUGGGUUUCAAUUGUGAAAGUAUAAUGGAUAAUAGUUUGGUAGUAUGUUGAUAUUUUAGUACUUGAUUAUUUGUUAAAAUUUGACUAUAAUGAAAUUAUAUGACAAAUUUUUAUGAGGCUCGCGGGUGAAGUUGGGCGGGGGGCAGGUGAGGGGUCCCCCACCCCAUUGCCAUUCCUAGAUUUUAGAGCCUGUGUCUGGUAUCAAAACCCUAGACUUUGAUCCUAAUGUGUUGAUCUCAAUGUGUUGGCGAAAAUUAUAUCUACAAGGUUGAUGCUUACAGGAUUGUAAAUUUUUUAAUGAGUUAGAGUACUCGAACAUUGGAUAAAAUUGGAUCCCUAGAUUGGUCCAAAGAUAUUCAACUAUUAUUAACAAUUAGGAAAAUAAUUGGACAAAGAUCUAAAAAUAAAGACCUCAUGUUAUUGGUGUCAAAAAGUCAUCAGAGACAAAAAGAUCAUGUUUCGUCAUUUUAGUGAAAUAAGAGGAUUGGAAAAAAGAAUCAUGUUAGAUUGGUCGUUGUGAUGAUUUACUAGAGUAAGAAUUUUGAUACUAGUUAUCAUUAAGAUUGGUUAAUAAAAAUUGAAGGUGAUGUGAUUAACAAAAAUUAAUUUAUUUAGUUACAUGGAUUACAACAAUGAAUAAAGAUUUUAGAAGAUAGUGCAAUAAUUUCAAUGAAGAUUUUUAUUGGGGUAGCAUAGAGUUGUAUUCAUAGAAAGUUUGGUUUAAGGGAGCCAUUGUUCACAUAAUUAAUCCAAUUUUAGUAGUUUACUUGUUAAAAAUAUAGAGAAAUUAUUUGGUAGUUGCUUAUUUACUAUAAGUCAUGUUACUCUAUAUUUGGUGUUCUAGUAUUGUAUUUAAUUUAGAAGAAUGAGAAAAAAAUUAUAAAAGACCAGUGAGUGUCUUGGUGCUUGUAAAGGUAAUUCUAUCUAAAUUUUAUGUUGGUCUCAGUAUAAGAGCUGAAUGUGCUGUGCACUUGUAAUUAUUAAACUCCACUUCUCUCACAUAUUUUUAUAUAUGUUAUAGCACAAGUCGAUAUUAUUGAAUUAGACCAAAUUUAUGUAUGAAGAAAGCACAUCAAAUAAUUUUUAAAUCUAAGAUAAUCACAUGCCAAAUUCUGUGUCUUACAGUUAGGAGUGAAAAGGGUCUGGAUAGGGGCAGGAUGGUAAAAAAAACUCUACAACUUUAUUUUUAACAUAUAAGCAACCCAUAAUUUGGUUUAACUAUAUAGUUACUCUUAACUUUCAUUAGAUUUGCACAAGUUUAAUAUUUUUUAUUUGAAAAAAGUAUCAUUGUCUCCUUAAUUAAAUUUAAUGUGGAUAAUCCACAUGCUUUAAAAUAUUGUUUGAAAUGCAGGCUCAAAUUAAAUUCAAGAAAUUGAAUAAACUUUUGUCAAUCGAAAGAAGUGUAUAAAUGGCAAACAAUAAUAUUCCCUUGAUCCUGAAAACAUUAUUGCUUUUUAGGAGUGUUUUUUUAUCAACAGUAAAAAUAGUUGCUCAAUUAUGUACACUUUGCCCUUCCAAAACAUACUCACAAGCAAUGAAAUGUACUAGGAGUCAAUAUAUGUGGGGUCUAUUUAUUUGGUUUGGCUCAAAAUGCAUGUGACUUAAAGCCAUGCAUAUAAACGACAGAAUCGACAAAUUUGGGUGGUAUGUCUAAUGCAUUUAUACAUGAGUAUUUUAAUUUUUUUAUUGACUUGUGAAUUAAAAUUGGGGACCCAUAUUUUUUGUACUAGUAAGAUUACUUUGUCUUGUAAGAAGGGUAAAAUUCGAAUUGAAUGGGAAACUAUUUUUCCAUUUUAGGUAAGUGACAAUAGAUUUGAGAAAAAUAAAAAUGAAAAGUAUAACACUUUCAAGGGGACGGAAGGUUUCAUAUAUUACAGCUAAUAUAAUGAAAUAUAUACAAUAGCAAAAACAAAAAAAGAUUAAACUACAAACAAUACUCAUUAAACAACAAAUAUAUCAUUGAUGCAUGUGGGGUAUGAUCAAGAAACAAAAUAACAUAAUUUGCUUCCUUAACUGCUAUUGCCUUUAAAUUAUGUAAUUCGUUCUUAGUCAUAAUUAGAAGGAUGAAAAAGCUACGUUUUAUGAAAGCUUACAAUUUUUUUAUCGUGCUAUUUUAGUAAUCUCAUAUGAAUUUAAAGAGCAAUAAAGUGAAAUUGCAUUUUAUUCUAACAUUUUACUAAGAAAGCUGUUUCUCCUAGUAUAUGACCUGAUUAAAAGGGAUUCCAACAUUUUAUUUCGAACGCAGCUUCUUUAAGUAUGUAUUGUUUAUUUCCUUUGUUUUCAACUGCUAAAAGAAAUUGUAGGAAGGAUUGGGAGUGGGUUACGGUCAUUGGUUGAUAUAGUACCCCAUCACGGAAAAAUUUUGAAGAUAAAGUUCAUAUGUUUUCUUUCCUUAACCUUUGAUUUAAUUCCUUUUUUAUUUAUCUACUGAUCAUGAGUUAUAUUUGUUAGACAAUUUUACAAAAGUUUCUUUGGGCAAGGCCAUCCCGUGACAACAAAGUUUGGCCUACUUGGAAAAGAUAUUGGAAAAGAUACUUCACCUGUAACCGAAAAGUCACAAGUUCGAGUCAUCACGAAGGUAAGUGAAGAAACACUGUUGAUCCUCUUAAUAAAAAAAAUUUAAAUAAAAAAGGACCAGGCUAUCCUGCUAUCCAUAGUAUUAUAACUUACUAAAAAAGUCUCCUCCAUACACUGCAAUUGUUGCCACCCCGACGUCACACAUAAAUUCUUGUUGGUCCAUUGAAAAAAUUAUCAAAGGUUUGAAGGCAAAUUUGCUUGCGCAUGACGAUUACAAUGGCAAACAAAACCAUGCAAGAAUGAACUUCCUAGGGAAGGUUCGUGGACUAUGUUGGCGAUCUUGAUGCGAUUGAAUUGCCACCAUGCUAUACGCAUAUGAUUUUGCUUGGAUAAGAAUGCCAGCAUCUAAUUGUAAUAGUUUUAAUUUCUUUCUUCAAGCACUAUACUGCUUUCAAUAGAAGAGUUUCACCAUAAAAUUAACACUGCAAUGAUCUAAGUAAUUUCCUAAUUAGAAGAUAAAAAAUACAAAAUUCGAAAAAGUUUUCCAUUUAGAAGGAAAAUAUAUUGAGAUCAAUCAAACUUUUUCAACCCAAAAUGUAUCUCAUGGGAAUUAAUUAUUCACAAGACUGUUUGAUAGAAGCAAUUCCAAAAUAGGAUAUAUUGUUAAUGUUAUGUUUCAUUUUUUGGCUAUCCCAAAAUAAGAGUUUCAUUGCAAAAGUCAAACAACUCUUCAAUCUGCUUUCCUUUUUACCAUCAUCCACUAAGGAUUAUAAGAUUCUAUCAUUUCAUAAUAAACAAUCACACGGAGCCCGCCACUAUACAUGCACACUUCAACAAGGACCAUGACUUUUGGUCUUUCAUCAGCAAGCUCCUUUAUUUAAACAAGGCUAAGAUCGAAAAGUUUUGAAAAGUACUGCCCACAACUUCACUGUACAUAAAAAAAAAAAAAAAAAAAAGGGUACUUCUAUGUGAUGGCUCCAUCUCCCCCUAGGGCGUACCCUAAAAUUUAGCGGAUCGUCUGCCUAACUCUCACCGAGACUCAUUCAAAAUCUUCCAAUCAAUAACAUUAACAAGUAUUAAAACACAACAAUUAAACAUUACAAACCAUCUAACAUUCCGAAUCAUCCAUACUUAUAUGUACAACUAAACGGAUCAAAAUACAAGUUGUUCAAUCAAUUCACUAAGUACAACUAGGAUGGCAAUUUACUUAAAACAAAGACUUCAACUCUCUAUUCUCCGGCUCCAUGUUUCCAACCCCUAUUAAGGAAAAUAAUUAAAGGGGUGAAUUUUUGCCCAGUGAGCUUCUAAAAAAAUAGACAACCUUAAGCAUAGCAUUUCGUACUUUCAGUAAUAUAAUAGGAAUACCAAACCAAUUAAUAACAAGAUAAUUCAUGAAACAAUUCUUAACAAAUAGCACAAUCAUUAUCAAAGGAUAUGGUACUGAUACGGACUCUAGAGAUGGCUCCCGUCCGUUUCUAAACGUAACACUUAGUUCCAUUUAGUAAUUCAUUGCACAACUCCCUGCAAUCACUUCUCCACCAAACUCUUCCUUAUAUCCUCCAAAAUAGUAAACAAUCCCCUUCAAUCAUUAAUCAUUUCGUCACUCCAAUAGGCGCCUCAUUAAGGGGGUAAUACUCAAGUAUAUCAAUAAACAGUGCCCAAGGCCUAUCAACCUACUUGACCGAGCCCGUUGUUGGUUGGAAUAGGUCAACCGUCGAUGGGGUUUGGGCCCAGUUCAACUGAUAUGAUAAAGUACACAUUUGACUUACAUUAAUUCAUGCACAAUUCCAGUAUUCACUUAGGUAGAGUGCAAUAAAGUAUGCGCUCGCCUUUCAGUAAAACAGUAGCAAUUGUCAAUUUUCACUCUAAACAAUUCAAACGUCAAUAAUCCAACAAGUAUCAAUCAACUAGGCACAUAACAUUUAUCAUUCAUCAAAUAUUCAAUCAUUACAAACAAAUAUAGAACAUUCAUUCAAAUCAAGUGGAUUACACCUCAGUCUCGGGGGUUGCUUUCACACCCAUUAGUAGUUCCUGAGACAAAUUACAAGUACUAUAGUUAUGGUAUAACUUUAGGAAUAAUUACUAAAUGCAGUUACUUCCAUCCCCGAACCCAAUUCUAAGUUGAUUAUACCAAGUUUAAUCAUUAAAAGAUCCCCAAACUAUAUAUGUAACGUUCACUUUAGUAUAAUUUUAGUUAAGCUCAAGCACAAUAAUAUUGUAUAAAAUCUACCCAACAAUUCAAGUUAAAACCAAAAAUUAAUUAAGAUUAAGAUUUAGUCUUAAAGGUGGAAUAAUUGUCCAGGUUCACUUCUUCCGUUCCCCCUGUACAAAGCCUUAACUUUUGUGUUUAAAUCAAUUGAAAGCUCUAAUGCAACUCUAUGGCCAGUAUGCUAGGGUUUGAAAAUGCCAAAUAUACAACAUACAUGGCUAGAUUAGGACAACAGAUGAUGCAUAAAGUAAGUUUUAACCAAGUUCAACAAAACUCUUGGCAAGAAAACUAAAAAUUUCCAGGUUUAGUGUUUCCUCCAAAAAUCAGUCUUUUCUAGCCUUUAACUCAACAAAUACUACAUGCAUGUCUAGAUAAAAGAAGUAAAUGGUACAUGAAGUGAGUUCUUGACCAAAACCAACAAAAUUUUUGGAGUUAAAGUUGCAAACUCUCGGCUCUAUUCCAAUGGCCCUCAAGUAUCUAUCAUAGUUGGAAAUUUCAGUAAGGUUCUCUCAACGCCACCACUUAUCUCACUUUGGAUUCAAGCCAAGUACUACAUGCAUGUCAAUAUUAAUGUAUUAUAAGGUGUAUUGACGGGUAUUUUACAUACGUGCAAGCUAAAAAAUACCGAAUUACACCCGUUCACUGCAAGUAUACAGAUCAACUAGUAGUUUAGGGUAUAUAUCGGGUCGAUCCCACAAGGAAGAGUGAACAAUUACCGGUAUUACUAAAGCUUCUCUAUUAUUUAGACUAUCAAUGAAUUAUAACAAAUUUAACCUACUGAAAUUAUACAAAAUAACAAAUAAAAGCUCCUUAGGUUGUGGUAUCCCUAACUACUCAUGCAAGUGCUAUUUUUGGAUCCUUGAGUACUACAUCUAAGCUAGUUAUAGUGUAAUUUCCUUAAACAUGUGAAACCUACUUUCGUAGUGAAUCAACUAUACUCAUAACUAAUCCAUACCUAUUUUCAUGGUUAUGAAAUUAGCUACAAGUUCAUUUCUUCAAUGAAAUUACAUGAAAUGAAUCACUAAAAACCACAUAAGUGCACCUCUACUUUCGUGAGUGUACUCCCUAUGUUUAGCACCUCUUGAACUAGUGUUAAAUCUCAAUUUUCAUUGCAGAAACAACACCUUAGAUAAUCAUAAUUAAUGGUACCAGAUUAAUCAUGAUUUAAAGAGUCAAAGUGCUAAAUAACUUGCUCAAAUCAUAGCAAUCAAAUAACCAAAUAAUAAACACUAACAAUCAUAGAAAGUUCAACCAAACCCAAGGCUUAAACUUUAGAUACACAUAUUAAACACAAAAUCCAGAACUUGUAUAUUAACUAAACUUGGAAUCAAAUACAAAAGAUAAAGAGUUUGGAAGGAAUACAACCCUUGUCACAUGAGCUUUCUUCCUUGCCUUCUUCAUCCUCCAUCUUCAUCCUAAUCUAGAUAAUAAACAAGAAUGGAAAAGCUACACUACUCUAUACUAAGCUAAACUAACACUAGGGAGAUGAAAGAGCUACAUUUCUGCAGCUUCAAGCUUCUCCCGUAGCUCACUCUCUAUUUUUCUGCUAUCUCCUCUUCUCUUCUAUCUACUUAUUGGAUCCCCUUCAAUCUUGCAAUCUUGGCUAUUUUAUGAUGAAAUAUGGUCAAGAAAUGAGGAUUACAUCUCCCUUUUACAGCUGGGAAUGUUUCUCACAUGUAUAGCAUCCCAUGUGAGUUGGUGGAGGUGAAAUUGAGUUUUACGCGUACAUAGCAACCUUUUCUGACCACAAUCCGGCCAGGAAUCCGGCCAAAUUCCGGCCGGAUUGCUACAGUGACCAUUUGGUCACUUCUGGUUCAAUUUCCAGCUCUGCUCCGAUUUUGACUCAACUUCAACUGAACUUUUCUUGAUGAUAAAAGCUGAUUUAGCUCUUGACCAAAACAUAAAACUUGUAGCCCUUUGAGUUAGCUUUCCAAUGCAUCAAGAAUCACCUCAUUUGGAUCUGUGUAGGCUGAGAAAUGACCGAAAUACCCUUACCUGCUCAUUGCCCUGUUCCAGUUUCGACCAGUAGAAAUUUGCUAUUGUAAUUCGGCAUUUUGACCUGGAAAACCUUCAAACUGGAUUUAGAUGUCUUCACCAAAGUUGUAGAUCUAUCUCUUAUCUUCAAAUUGGUUCAAGAAUCAUCUUAAUCCGAUCACUGUAGCUCAAGUUAUAGCCGAAAUACGAAAAUGUGUCAAAACUGUCAAAAUACACAAAAUCCAAGUAAAAAGUGAUAAAAACCUCAUUUAACCACUUAAAAACAUUUUUCACCAAUUAUAGCCAAAAUGAAUCAUUUUCUUCCAAUAAUAUACCCAAAGUGACUAAAAAUAAUAUAAAAUAUCAUACAAUUAUUACGUAAAUUAGUCACUUAUCAUGUAUUAAACAACAAUAUGCAAUUUUACAGCCAAAAUUCAUGGAGGAAAACUGGAAAAGUUCUUCCUCUCUCUCUUGGCCAUCUCAACAAAAUUUCCAGCAAGGUCCUUCAAUAUUUUCAGCCAAGUUCACCAACUUUUCACUAGUUUCAAAGAUAAAACAUACUAUAUAUAUAAGGCAAGAGAUAAAAUAUAUAUCAUGCAUUUCUAGUAAAAUUUCUUCCAAGAUUUUUAAUGAAUAGUUGUGAAACUCAAGCUCUCUUCCUCUCGGUCAACACAGAGAAUUUUCCAGCAGGUUAUCAGUUUUUAAGCAAAGUUUUCCUUCAGAUUUUACGCUGAUCCUUCUUUGUUUCACGUUAAACACUGCAUGCAUGACAAGGUAGAAGAGCUAGGGUGUGUGUGUGUUGUAUACAAAUUCAACUUAACAAAUUUUGAGAGAAGAACAACAUGCAGUAAUUUCAGCAGAAUAUUUCCAGCUUUGAGGCAUUUUUCCUUGGUUAAAUUUCUCUUUUCUUGAGGGUAGUUCAAGUUAAGACAGUAUAGAACUAAGGUAGAGAGGAAAUAAGGGAAAUUUAUCAGGUUUUACCUCUUGUUUCCUGACAAUGAAAGCUGGGAAAAUUGCAGACUGUUUCACCUUUCUUCUCUCGGUUUCUCAAAGGCAAAAUGCUCCAAUUUUCUCCCCUCAAUGCAGCUGGUUUGGGCACAAAGAAGCUGCAAUCGCUUCCUCACUCUCAAUUCUCUCUCUUGUGUUGAAUUGAUAAGAGGAAAAUGGACUAACUCUCUCACUCACUCUCUCGGUUGCAGGCUAGAAUAAAAAAGAACUAGAAAUGUGUUUGCUCUCUCGGUCAAAAGUUGCUUUGUAUGUCAAGAGACAAAUGAGCUGGUGCAGGCUUGGUUUAGUAGUUGGACAAGUGUCCAACUCAUGCCAUGUGUCAAAUGCAUGAACAAAUAAAAAUUUAGAUCUUGGACUUUCAUUCCAUCUCACUAUUACCCCACUAGUUUCUUGUCUAAUUCGUAUUAAAUUUCCAUCAAUGUCAAUCAUGCUUGAAUUUAAAAUAUUCCAAUACACUUAAAUAUAAGGCAAUCAAUUAAACACUCUAAGUAGUCGAUAAUCCAACAAGAUUGCAUGAUCAAAUUUUCUAUUCAUAAUGUGCGCAAUUAGGUAUAAAUUUUUGAGCUCUCACACCCUAAAGCCAUCCCUAUUUUUGGGACAGAGGGAGUAUAUUGUUGCAUUUCAAAAGAAUUAAAGACCAAAAUAAUGUCUAAACCAAAUAAUUGAUAAAUGUGCUAUUAAACAAGUUGCAUGUGUGUUGGUUAUAUGUCCAAAAAAAAAUGGUAGGCUUCUUUGGUAUGUGAUUAUCUUGGGUUUUGAAAAAUUAUUUUAUAUGGCAAUUUAUGCCAAGCAAAUGUUCUCAUUGAUCAGAAUAAAGACUGUGUGCAAAAGGAUGUGGUGGUUAGGGAUUUUUACAUAUUACUAAGAAAGCUAGUCGGCAGUUGUGACUGCCUUAGUCAACUAUUUGUAUAUGUAUACGUAUUGUUGGGUUCAUGAGUAAAGAAUUAUGUCCCAUAUUGAUUCGAGAGAUAAAGAAAGAACGAUUAAUAUAUAAGUAAGGCCCAAAACCUAAUAACUUAAGUUUUUAGGUCAGAAUUGGGUUCCUAACUCAUUUAUUGGGUUCUUUGAUGGGUUUUCUCGAGUUGUUUCUCCCUAACAAGUGGUAUCAGAGCUUGAUUGUGAAAUUGGACUGUUCACGGGCACUUGGAUCCCAACAAAUGGUAUUAGAGUUUCAGAUUGUGAGUUUGGACUACUCAUGGGCAUGUGGAUUCUUCUCGGAGUUGGACCGGUGAAAAUUCUUUUCUUGAUCGGGAACCAAAGUGCCAAAGUACUAAGGAGUUUGGUUAGUAUUGGACCACGAAACCAAGGGUUGGCAGAGGUCCAGAAUACAGUUUAGAUAUUGAAGAAGAGUUGUGUCAUGAUUGGGAGAAGAGCUAACCUUAGGUGAUAAGGUGGGUUUGCAUUGAGUAUUAAAAUGGAUUCGAAAAAGAGUUUAUAAACUUGGGUCUAAUAUGAGGGGUUACUCAUGAAGAGGGAGAUUUGUUAAAUUCAUGAAUAAAGGCUUAUGUGUCACAUUAGUUCAAGAGAUGGAGAAAGAGCACCUAAUAUGUAAGUAGGGGUCCGAAACCUAAUAAUGACUUACAUAUUUGGCUCUUUGGUGAGCUCUCUCGAGAUGUUUCUCUCUAACAAGUCGUAUCAGAGUUUGGUUGCGAAAUUGGACUGUUCACAGAUGCUUAGAUCCUGACAUGUAUUUAUAUAUUUACUUGCACACACUAUGUGUGUGUUUGUGUGUGUCAUCCUACUUAUAUAUUAGUAGUAUAAGUUUUGAGAAGUUUAGAAUAAAAAGCUGAGCUUGCGUUGCAAAUGUUUAGUGCCGUGUGUUUGUACCGUAUUUCUUCAUAUUAUUUUCGAUACCUAACUUUUCCUUUUGAGAGACUGAUAUAUUUAUCUAUUUGAAAUAAAUUUAUUUCCUACAAAAUCGUACCAAAAGUAGAUUGAUUCGACGAUAUGGCUGUGAGCAAUAUUAAUUGUGAAGUUCCAAAACUCAUAGGAAAGAAAGGUUAUAAUUUUUGGAAUAUGCACAUAGAAACCCGUCUUGAGGCAUAUAAUUUAUACAUGUUUGUCGAACAAGAAGUCAAUAUAGAUGCAAAUGAAAAUACCAAGAGGAAAACAAGCAUGGCAUUAUCUCAAAUUCACUAGGCGCUUGAUGUCUCAAUUUUUUAAAAAAAUUACAAAUGCCAAAACUACAAUGAAGGUACGGGAUAUUUUGCGCAAUACAUACACAGGAUUCAACAGAGUCCAGAAAAAUAAUUUGAUACUGUUAAAGAGGAAAUAUAAACUCAUUACCAUGGAAAAAUUAGAGACAAUUGAAUCUUAUUUUUUCUGAUUAAUAGAUAUCAAGAUCAAAAUUGAGUUCAAUGGUCAUGUUUUCAUGAUGUGCUUGUCGAGAAAGUUCUGAAUACUUUUCUGAUGAACUUUGAUCAUGUUGUAAUCAUGCUUUAAGAGACAAAAAAUUUAUCAGUGUUGAUAUUGAAGAAUUGCAAGGUUUGUCAACUAUUUCAUGAACGGGAAAUUAAUGAGAACUUGGACGGACAUGGAGAAAAUGAUAUAGAAAUAAAGGCAUUACAAGAUAAGACCAAAGAAAAAGUGAUAUUUCAAAUCAAUGAAAUCAAAACCGUAGAAGAAGGACACAUAGCUAUAGGAGUAAUUUUAGAAGUUAGGGUAGAGAUAUUUUCAUUAAAAGCAAAAAGUAAUACAAAUUCCGAUACAUAGUAGAAAAAUAAUAAUUAUCAUAGGUAUAAUAUUCAGUGCCAUAAGUUUGGAAAGUUAGGCCAUUAUAGAAAUGAAUGUUGGUCUAAUAAAUUUGAUGAUUGGAGUGUGCAUGCUGAAGUGAUUGAAAAUAAUGGUGAAAAAGGUGAGACUAUUUUGUUUUCCACCCCUAGAAGUAAGAAAUUCAAAAAAGAUAUUUGGUUUUUAGGUUCUUACUGUAGCAAUCAUGUGUGAUGAUAAGGAAACAUUUACUACCGUGGAUGAAUUCUCUCAAAAUUAUUGUUAAAUUUGUAAAUAAUGAAAAAGUACUUGUUGGGUAAAGGAAAAAUUGGUAAAAUUCUAAACGAUGAAUCUUCAAAUUUUAUAUCUAAUAUUUAUUUUGUGCCAAACCUUCAUCAUAACUUAUUGAGCUUUAGGUUGUAUUUUGAGAACAAAUAUGAUUUACAUUUUAACUAUAAAUUGAUACUAUUCAUUAUGAUCAAUUAGGACUUAAAGCAAGAUUUACAUGCAUCGUAGUUGUUUGUGGCAUGUCACUCUUAAUUAUAGUGAUUUAUCUUAUUAUAGUUCUAUGGCUUUUGACUAUAAUUAGCUGUGGCUAAUGAGUUUUGGUCACUUGUUAGGAGUUCCAAAUUUUCUUUCUAGAAAGAAAAAAGGUGGAUGGGUGACCUCCUAUUGCUUUUUCUAAUAAGCAAUACGGAUAUAGUAUUUUGGGAAAAAAAAUAUCAAGAUUCUUUUCUCAAAAGGCAAAGCUAAGAGAUCUAAAUGACCCUUGGAGUUGGUUCAUUCAGGUUUGUACUCAAUUUGGGUUCCUUCCAAUGGAGGUAACAAAUAUUAUAUUAUUUUAUUGAUGAUUUUAUUAGAAAAACUUGGAUAUAUUUUCUGAAAAUUGAAUCUGAUGCAUGUGAUUUGUUUUCAAAAGUUUUAAGUUGUAUAUCGAGAAACAAAGUGGACACAUAAUUAAAAUCUUAAGAAAUGAUAGAAGCACCAGAUUUAUUAUCUGUGAUAAGUAUUUGGUGAAAACAUCAAUUAACAGCCAGAUACACACCUUAAGAAAAUAGUGUGGCUAAAAGAAACAAUAUCAUAUUUCGAUAGAUAUGGUGACGUCUAUGAUGCACACUAAAACUGUACCUAAAGGGUUUUAAGCAGAAGUUGUUGCUUGUGUUGUUUAUAUUUCUAUAGGGAAAAAGUAUCCUAUAAGGUGCAAUUUUGGAAAAAAAUAUACAAGAAGUUGUUGCUUGUGUUGUUUAUAUUUCUAUAGGGAAAAAGUAUCCUAUAAGGUGCAAUUUUGGAAAAAAUAUACAAGAAGCAUGGACAAAUAAGAAACCAAUUGUUACUUAUUUGAAAUAUUUAGUUGUCUUACCUAUUCCCAUGUACUAGAUCCUAUCAAAACUAAAUUAAAUGAUUUGUCAGAGAAAUGCAUUUUCAUUGGUUAUGGCAAUGAACCAAAGUUUAUAAACAGUACAAUCCAAACACAUGGAAAGUAGUUAUUAGUAGAGAUGUUACUUUUUGAUAAACAAUGUGUUAAGAAUAGGUCAAAGAAAUUGUUAGAUUCUACACUAAACUAAGGUUUGCAAAAUCAGGAUCCUUUAUAGGAUCGAUUUUAGUUUCAUAGGAUUAGAUCGUAUGAUUGUAAAAUCCCACCAAAAACUCCCAAAUUAACUAAAUUAACUAAUUUGAAGUUCAUAUAUAGCUUUGCACAACCUAAAAGAUAUCAAAUAAGUAAAUUAUUUAUAAAUAUAUAGUAUUUUUACCUAUAGUUUGACAAGAAAUAAAGAAGAAGAAUAUAAACAGUUAUUAUUUAUAAUUACAAGUCUUAAAACCAAAUGAUUUACAAUUUACACAACAAUAAUUUCAAAUGUAAGAUAAUCAUCAAUCUACACGAAUAAUAAAAAGUCAUAACUUCCAAAUCCAAGAUCUCCAACAUUAAAAUUAACUAGUAAAAUGUCAUAUGCUAAAAUAGCACCUUUGUUUUUUUCCAUUCAGGUUCCUCGCAUGAUUUUCUAAUUGUUUGCUUUCAUUCUUUUAACAAUUCAGCUAUGUGGUUGGCUACAACUAGCAAAACUUUCAAGAUAUCAUUCUCCUAAAAUAUCUCAAAAUUUUUAAAGAAACUAGAUUAAUUAUUUCCGUAUCUCAAUUAUUUUUAGACCUUUUUUUGACUUCUAGUAAAAUCGAGACUUCUAGUAAAACCAAGACCAACAUAGAAGAAUAAACACCAUUGACAGAUUAUUAGUAAAACUCAGAUCAACAUAGAACAAUAAACACCAUUGACACAACUUCAUAUGCAAUUACAAUAAUAUUAAGUAGUACAAGGACAACAAAUAUUAGAAACAAGCACUAGAAUGAAAUCCACAACUAUAUAUAUUUCAAUGUUACAAAAUAACCACACAAAAAAAAAAAAAAGAAACGGAACCUCAAUGAAGUCCAUAGCUAUAUAUUUCAAUGUCACAGAAUAACCACAAAAAAAGAAAGAAAAGCAACGGAACCCCAAAAUGAAAAGAAAAGGUCCAGACGUCUUGCCUAAUCAGAAAUAAGAAUACAACCCAUCUUAAUAAUUGAUAGUAAAAGCAUUUAGUACACAUAUAUAGCUGAUAGACAUAAUUAAACGAAACAAUCAAAUUAGGGUUACGGGUACUCGCAGUUAUUUUCAUUGGACAACUUCUUCUGCCAAAAAUUCCUUGAGUUUGGACAAGGAUACAAAGACAAUUGAGAAUUAGAGAUGGGAGAUUGGCAAAAUUUUGUGACAUUUUAUUGGAAUCUAGAUGGAGGAGAAGUUUAGAAUGGAGAUGGGGAAGAACCAAAGAAACUUUCUCUCUCUUCAUCUUUUGUGACUUUAUCUCUGUUUGUUUCAUUCAUUUGUUCUCAAAGCUUGUUUUUGUUGUAACUUUUGUUUUUGAGACAAAAAUUGUUGCAAAAUUAUAAUUAAAGAUCCAAUUCUUUGAUAAGUUACAAAACCUGCUCCAAAUGUUUCCAUUUAGUUUCAAAAUUUAGCCCCAUAUUUACAAAAUUCUCAAAAAUCCGUAGGAUAGCAAUAGGAUCGUAGAUCAUACGAUCCUAUGUACAAUCCUAUGAUCCCACAAACGAUUCUAAUGAUCCUAUAUAUAUUAAAGCAAUUUUCGAUUCUACACACGAUCUAGAUUGAUUUUACUGAUCCGAAUCGUAGGAUCGUACGAUCCUACGAUCCGGAUCGCGAUUUUGACAACCAUGCACUAAACAUCUACAAUUGUCUUCAAAUAUAGGAGGAAGUUUUACUGGACAAUAAAUGAAGCAACACACCAGUGAUCUUUUAUCUUCUAAUAUGUAUUCUACUCCUAUACAAUCACCUAAUCAUGCGCAAUGACAACCUUGAUUACAAGUCUAUUUGGAGGAUUAUGCCAUUGGUAAGGAUAAUAAUUUAUCUAAUGAGGAUGCGCUAAAUUUUGCCUUAUGUGUAGAUUUUGAUCAGGUAACUUUUGAAAACACUGUCAUAGGUGAUCAUUGGAUUCAACCAAUGAAUGAAAAAAGUCAAGCAAUUGGGAAGAAUAAUAUAUAGGAGUUGACUACUCUUCCAAUUUAACAGAAAUCAAUUAGAGUCAAAUGGGUAUGUAUACAAGUCCAAAUACAAGUCAACUAGAGAACUGGAUCGCUUCAAGGCAAGGUAGUUGCUAAAUGGCACAAAUUAAAUGCACAUAUUGAUUAUUUCAAAGUUUUUGUUGGUAUGAUUAUCUUCCUUACUGCCAAUAAUUAUUGGAAAAUCUUCCAAAUGGAGGUGAAUUUUUCUUUGUUGAAUGGCAUUCUUGAAGAAGAAGUAUAUGUUGAGCAACUUGCUAGAUAUGUGUGGAAGGGCCAAAAAAUAAAGUUUACAAAUUGAUGAAAGCAUUAUAUGAUUUGAAACGAGCUCCUUGAGCUUAAUAUAUGAUUUUUGGGACGGAUGGAGUAUUUCAAAUUCAAUCCUAGAAGAGAUGUAGUUAUUGUGUGCUUCUAUCAAGUUAUUUUUUGAAUUUAGAGAGGCUAUGAUGAGUCAUUUUAAAAUAAAUGACUUGGGAUUAAUGCCUUACUUUCUUGACAUUGAAGUUUCUCAAGUGGAUGGUGGAAUAUUUGUUUCACAAAAGAAAUAUGUUGGUGAUAUUCUAGAGAAAUUCAAGAUGAACACUGCCAAGCCAACAAUGACUCCUGUAGAAGAAAAGUUGAAAUUAAUAAAAGAUUGCAUUGGCAAAUUUGUUGAUGCCACGUAAUUCAGAAGAUUAAUGAGUAGUCUUAGAUGCCUAACUUGUAUAAGACUUAAUAUUACUUGUAUGUUUGAUUGAUUAGUAGAUUCACGGAAUCUCCAUCCUAAUUAUAUUUACAAGUGGUCAAAAAAAUUUAAGAUAUAUCUAAAGUAUGCAGUCUGACGGUAUCUUUUAUUAACAUAUUGAUGAAUAUAGAUUUAUUGAAUUGACAAAUGGUGAUUGGAUGGCGACAUGAUUCUUGUAAGUACCUCUAUGUAUCCUUAUACUAUAUAAGAAUGAGUUUGGGUCGAAGAAUGGUUUUGAAUUUCAACCACAAGAGUAGGAGUAUUUUGGGAUUGUGAGGUUGUUUUGAGUGUAGUUAUAGUAUUGGAUACUACUUUGAUAGCAUGUGUAUUAUUAUGUUUACUGAAAUGUCCUUGUAUUCUAAAAGAUGCAGUGAUGAUUUGUUAAAAGGUUUGGGUAGUUUGGGAAUGUGAGAUUAUUUGAUCAUCUUUUCUACAAUGGGUACAACCCACAAUAGCUUCUUUAUUGGUGUAAUUACUUAAAUGUCCUUACAGAGACAUUCAUUUUGGUUUGUAUCAAUUAUUACUGUUACUUUGCUAUUAUAACUUGAAGAACUUCAAACAUCAUUAUCAUCUCAAUUAAAGUAAGGACAAUGUGAUUUAUUAAGGAAUUUAUGAUUGAGCAUUAGUUUCAACUUCAAUUUUUCAAAUGUCUGCUCCUUCACAUUCUUCCGUUAUGUUCCUUUCGUCUUCCGAUAAAUACUUAUUUGUAUUGCCAUUGUACUCUGGAUUUCAAUAUGGUUCUCUGGUGAAGUUAUUCUUGGCGGUUCAAUUUGAGGUGAGGUUUCAUUCUUUUUUUUAAUGGUAUGAUUUGCUUUGUAAAAUCGUAAUUUCUUUUGUUAGCUAAAUGCUUUCAUUCCAAAAUUGGAUACUCUGUUAGCGCAAUUUAAUGUUGAUAUUAUUGUUUCCCCACAAAGUUGGUUGUUCUAUACAAUUUAAAUGAUGUGGUUUUGUUGGAAUAGGUUUGGAGAUACAAAACUUCCUCUUUUGGUCUACUUACAUGGUGGAGGCUUUUUGAUCAAAUCUGCCUUCUCUCCUACACAUCAUGCGCACCUUAAUGUAGUAGUUGCAGAAGCUGGUGUUGUAGCAGUUUCAAUUAACUAUCGGCCCGCCCCUGAGCAUCCUUUGCCUAUUGCUUAUGAAGAUUCUUAGAUUGCAGUCAAAUGGGUUGCCCCUCAUUCAAAUGGCGAGGGUCCUGAGGUAUGGCUUAGGGAUUAUGCUAGCUUUGAUAGGGUGUUUUUUGGUGGGGAUAGUGCUGGUGGCAAUUUAGCACAUAACAUGGCAUCAAGGGUUUGGCCGGAGAUACUAGACGGUUUCGAUCUUGAUGUGAUUUUUCUCAAUUGUCCUUAUUUUUUGGGGAAAGAUCUAAUUAGUAUUGAGUUAAUGAAAUUACAGGUAAAGGCCUAUGUUAAAGACAUUUGGCAUUAUGUUCACCCAAAAUCUACGGGGAUUGAUGAUCCAUUGCUGAAUUCUCGUAUGAAACCAAACCUUUUGAGGCUAGGCUUUGUCGUUGCUAAAAAAGUUGGCCACUUUCAUCAACAAGAAUGUUGUGUAGAUGCAUCUUUAAGUGGAUAAUCACUUUGUUUAUUGCCAUUAAUCAUUUGGGUAUCUGUUUAAAGUUCAUUUAGUCUUGUUAAUGAAAAACUCAUAUACAAGUGUUUGUUUCAAAAUGUAUGAACUAAGCAAGAUAGCAUGCAUAAUUUUCUUCUCCAUCUUGCAGUAUACAUUAGAUAUUUUGUUACUUUAUAUUGUUACUCAAUGUGUGUGAAUUUUUUGAUAUUCGCUUGAACUACCGUAAAAUCUUUUUUAACCACAAGCACCAAACACCCGCGCUAUAUAAGAAAUGGUGUAAUCUGACUUUGUCAAUAGUUGAGGCAGAAUAUAUUACAGCAACGAGUAGUGGCAUUGAAGUAUCAUGGUUAAGAAGAAUGCUGCUUUUAUUUGACAUGAAAAAGAUGAUCCUACCAUAAUAGUUUGCGAUAGCAAAUUCACAAUUCAAGUUGACAAAAAAUCCAAUUUUUCAUGGUUGAAACAAGUACAUCAAUGUCAAGUAUAACUUCAUUUGUGAGUUGAUUCAAGAAGAAAAAAUUAUCAUUGACUAUUGUAAGACCAAAGACCAAGUCAGCUGAUUUUUUUUAUCAAGUCAUUUCGAGUUAAGAGUUAUUUGUGAAGUUGAAAAUAAUGUAGGGAAUGUCCAAAUUUAAAGAACAGGCAUUAAGAAUUAUUUGAAACAAUAGGAAGACACCAAGCAUUCGCGUCAAAUUCUGCCAGGCUAGUUACACAGCAUAUUAGAUUAACCGGCUAUUUGCCCAGUGUGUUUGAACGAUAACCCUUGAUUUGGAACACUGAAAGAAUCCAACAUGACAAAAAGUGAAAAAUCAACGCUCGAUUUUUCCCAUUAAAAUUUGUACGCAAACUCUCAUUUACUGAGGUAUUAUGUUGCGUACUACUGUUGGCUCAUGGUUUAUAAUAAUCAUGAUUCCACAGCAUAAAACCGAAUUUGAAUGCUUGAAACCUCUUCUGGUUCAAGUUGUAUUGGACCAGGCAAUGCACAUACACAAUCAUUCAGGAGUUCCAUAGCAAACAAACAACAGCUUAAUUGCCUUGCGAUUAGGUCAAUCCAAAACCUCUUUAGAAGUAUCCAUAAUGUAUCCAAAUGGUUAAACAUAUAAUCAGUUUCAGUAUGUAACGCUUAACUGCACAACAUAAAUGUUGAUAUAGAACAUGUAAUACACCCACUACUUGAGUUUAAACUGAUAUUGGUAAAUCAAAGUUUGAUUAAAUACAUCCACCACUUGUUAAAAAAAAGGUGCUCGUAUUGAGAUACACUAGCGGAAUAAAAUAUAAACAAACGGUAAAUUCCAGCAAUUGAAACUUUACACCAAAUUGUUCAAAGUGGUAGGGGUAAUAAAUAACUGCUUUAGUAUUUGAUCACAAUGUAACAUAGAACAUGAAUUUAUUCUAAUAUUCCCACCAAUUUUAAUGUGUCAAAAUCAGUACAGAUCUUAAACUUGUUGAUUCUCCUCUCAAUGUUUAGCAAAAACAAACAUGAAUUCAAUACUGCGUACCUAAUUUUAUGCGAUUUGGUAGCGAUAACAUUAUGUAUCUUCUCAUGACCUGCAGAUAAGGCAUUCAAAGUUGUAAAGAAACUAUACAAAAAUGUCAUGAGCAGAGGAUAUUUGUCAAACAUCAUUAUCGCCUCCUGAUCCAUGCAAGUCGACCAGCCAUCACCUUCAUCUGGCAAAGACUAUAAAAUGUGUUGCGCCUUGGUGUCUAGUUUACUGUUCAUUAAGCUAUCAAAUGACCUCUCUCAGUUCAUAAAUAGUUUGUUAAACAAAAUGUUGAAAUUGUUAAUUGUAAAGUUCAUCAUGUUAUGCUAAACAUGACGUGUCCUAAUCUCCUAGUCCUGUAUGAUUGUAAUUAUUGCUCAUGUGCCAAACAGGAAGCUGUUCCAAAAAUCUAUCCUCCACGUCCAAUAAUCAAUCAAAUAAAAAUUCCCAUAUUUUGCUAAACUUAAAAGCAUUGUAGAAAUACAUCCUUCAAAAGGUAUCCAGAUGUCCCCAAGGGCUAUACCACACACAUAUAUCAAACAGCUCAAAUGAAGAUUGUAGGAGCUCAAUGGAUGCAGCCCAGCCACUAACAACCACUUAAAUACUUCCUGGUAAACUAAGAAUGAUACCCACUUGUAGCUGAGACUCAAUAACCACUACAAUCUAAUGAUAGAUUACAUCGUAUCCCAGUAGCUUAAUUACUCCAAAGAUUAAAUUUUCCAACCUUAAAAUAGCAAAAGUAUCCAUAAUUACUAGGACCACUAAUUUCAUUCUGAAGCUAAAAGAUGUUUCUCAUCUGUUAAAGCACCUCUAACCAAAAUAUGAAAAGGAUACCAUCUUAGACUGGUUUAGAAAGGAUGUAAAGUUGCCACCAGAAGCUGGACUGUUUUUUAUUUGCCAAUUAUGUUGAACCUAACCAGUGAUAUUAUCCCGAAAACAAUAACAACAUUAAACUUAUCAGAUAUCAAAAAACUUGAUAAAGAGACAUGCCAAGCAACUUUAAAGCACUACCCUAAUGUAUGCCACUUCUUUCCAAAGCAAACCCCAACAGGAAGAAAAAACUCAAACCCCUCCUACAAUCAACCACAAAACCUCCACUAAAAGGGCAAACACUCCUUCAAAGCGAAGUAUAAAUGGGGAUAGACUAACUGCUUGAAGAGUUCCAAGUGUGGACCUCCUCAUUUCACCAAAGUUUGUGAAUCACUUAGAAUAGAAUUUCCAGAACAAGAUUAUUGUCCCAAAGGAUGCUAAGGUUUUCGUCCAUAGGAUCUCUCUAUUAUAUUUUCCAUUGUCCAUCUUUCUUGUUGAUUACUUAUUGGCUAUUAUUCACCACUGAAUUUAACUUCCAUUCACAAACUAAAAUCAAACAACAUUAUGACCAGACCUAGUGUGCCACUCAUGUGUAAACUCACAUACUUUCAAAGAAGUCAUUCAAGAUGACAGAAAAUUCAACUAUCCAUGUUGAACCUAUAAAAUUCAAGUAUGACUAUAACCAUUAUUGCUGAAGAACACCUAACAAGGUACUGCUCUUUAAAAUAUUCUCCCAUGCAAACAGGGUUUUGACCUACAUUUUUUUAUACACAAGCUUCAGGUAUUUACUCCAGUGACAUAAUUAUGCUUUAAUUUUUUAGUAAAGAAACUCUAUUUAAGUCAAUGGUUUCAGAAAGAAACGAACUUAGUAACAUAAUUUCCAAUAACUAAUAGAGGUCAAUUUAAUUGUAUAAAAUUUUGAAAGAAAUAAAAGGAAAUAAGUAACUACCAUCAUCCACUUCUGUCAAUAUAAACAAGAAAAAUACAUAGGUUGAGAUACAUAUGUUAUUCCUAAUCCUGAAAGUGAUAACAACAGAAGCAAUUUCUCCAUUUUUUGUGGUGGAGGAAAUUUAAAAACAUUCACAAAGCUUAUCACCAAAGAUGUAAAGCAUAAAAAUAUAAAAUUAGCAGUCUUAGUACAGACAACUAAACUGCCACAUGCAGUGACUUCAAAUCAUGUAUCCGGGUGUUGUUCAUUUCCCACUCUCAUCACCUGGGUGGAUGAGAAUGAGGAACUGGUUUAGGGAGUGAAAAUACCAAUUCAUGCAAAGCAGUCUUAAAGACAUACAGCAAGAAACGUUAACAAUCCAAUACUAUCGUUUUCUAUCCUCACCCUACCAAGUUUGAUAAAUCUAAUUCUGCGAAGUUAUCUUGUGAAAACAAGAAGCUCAAUCCAGAUUAAGAGAUCACUAGUAGUUUUAUCCAGUUAAAAAGAACACAAAAUCAGUAUUGAAAUUUAACACUCAUCAUAUAAAUUUGAAUUGAUUUCUGUUUUUCUUUAUCCAGUAACAGUAUUUUCUGAAUUUUGUAAUUUUACAAUGUAAAACAUCUUUAAUUAUGCGGAUUAACUAUUUCCCCAAAUUCUUCAGGAGUCACCUAUUUCUAAAAACUCAUAAUUGUCCUUUUCUACUUAAAAAAAAAAUCUCGAUGGCUCAUACAUGUUACAUAAUGGUUCAAAUACUCCCUGAAUGCUAUUAUUAAUUGACAAGAUUCUAACAAUCUCUCAAUCCACGGUAUGAGGUAAAGUCAAUGCCACUCAUAUCUUAGUCCCAGAAGCAAAUUGUUGCAUGCUUCCCCAAAAUUCAAGAACGUUUUAUUUAGCAUAGGGCACAAUAUUAAUUGAACAAUUAGGUAUGCAACUUCCAGCUGUAGUAAAGAGAUGUAAACGCCAAGAAAAAAUCACUAAAAUAUCCCCAAAAAAAGAGUUUAACAAUAUACACAAUCUUUAAACCUUUAAGCAUAUAACUGUACAAUGCAGACAAGGCGAAAACCUUUAAAACUACCUUCUCCCAGAAAUCAGCUUAACUAACCAAGUCAUCAAAGGGCUAUGGAGAAGAAAAACUGACCAAAACAUGGAAAAAUAUCCCUGUUGUAUGAAAAAAAAUUGUAUCCAUGCUCAAAGAGAAUUGAAUAAU